GACGUAGGUGGCGAACGUUAUCCGGAAUCAUUGGGCGUAAAGGGUGCGUAGAUGGCAUGAUAAGUUAUUAGUGGGAAAUCGAGGCUCAACCUCGUGGAAGCUAGUAAUACUGUUUUGCUUGAGUACAGAAGAGGUUAACGGAACUCCAUGUGGAGCGGUAAAAUGCGUAGAUAUAUGGAAGAACACCAAUAACGGCGAAGGCAGUUAACUAUUCUGUUACUGACAUUGAGGCACGAAAGCGUGGGGAGCAAAACGG
RNAcentral lists this ribosomal RNA (256 nucleotides) under uncultured bacterium. Its description in RNAcentral is "partial 16S ribosomal RNA". It matches the Rfam family "Bacterial small subunit ribosomal RNA", at positions 524 to 776 of the family's 1533-position model. The record is from RNAcentral.